UACGUAGGUGGCAAGCGUUGUCCGGAAUUAUUGGGCGUAAAGCGCGUGUAGGCGGGGUGGCACGUCGGUCGCUGAAAGCCCCCGGCUCAACCGGGGAAGGGUCGCCGAUACGACCACCCUGGAGGGACGUAGGGGGACCUGGAACUUCCGGUGGAGCGGUGAAAUGCGUUGAGAUCGGAAGGAACGCCCGUGGCGAAAGCGAGGUCCUGGACGUCUACUGACGCUGAGACGCGAAAGCCAGGGGAGCGAACGGG
RNAcentral lists this ribosomal RNA (254 nucleotides) under uncultured bacterium. RNAcentral describes it as "partial 16S ribosomal RNA". It matches the Rfam family "Bacterial small subunit ribosomal RNA", at positions 524 to 776 of the family's 1533-position model. The record is from RNAcentral.